UGCAAGUCGAGUGCGCGCCUGUAGCAAUACAGGUGGCGCACGGCGCACGGGUGCGUAACACGUGGGUAAUCUGCCCUUCGAUGGGGAAUAACUCGCCGAAAGGCGAGCUAAUUCCGCAUAACAUUCCGGGGACUUUGGCCCUUGGAUUCAAAGGCGUAAGUCGUCGGAGGAGGAGCCCGCGCACGAUUAGCUAGUUGGUGAGGUAAUGGCUCACCAAGGCUGUGAUCGUUAGCUGGUCUGAGAGGAUGGCCAGCCACACUGGAACUGAGACACGGUCCAGACUCCUACGGGAGGCAGCAGUGGGGAAUCUUGCACAAUGGGCGAAAGCCUGAUGCAGCGACGCCGCGUGGGGGAUGAAGCUUUUCGGAGUGUAAACCCCUUUCGACCCGGACGAAUGCCCCGCAAGGGGACUGACGGUACGGGUAUAAGAAGCCCCGGCUAACUACGUGCCAGCAGCCGCGGUAAGACGUAGGGGGCCAGCGUUGCUCGGAAUUACUGGGUGUAAAGGGUUCGUAGGCGGUGUGGCAAGUCGGGAGUGAAAUCUCUGGGCUCAACCCAGAGUCUGCUUCCGAAACUGCUGUGCUUGAGUGUGGGAGAGGCGCGUGGAAUUGCAGGUGUAGCGGUGAAAUGCGUAGAUAUCUGCAGGAACACCCGUGGCGAAAGCGGCGCGCUGGACCACUACUGACGCUGAGGAACGAAAGCUAGGGGAGCAAACAGGAUUAGAUACCCUGUAGUCCUAGCCCUAAACGAUCAGGACUUGGGGUGCCGCCCGUUCGGGCGUCGUCCCGGAGCUAACGCGUUAAGUCCUGACGGGGAGUAGGUCGCAAGACUGAAACUCAAAGGAAGACGGGGGCCC
Molecule: ribosomal RNA, 856 nt
Filed under: uncultured bacterium
Lineage: Bacteria
Description: bacterial SSU rRNA
Rfam family: Bacterial small subunit ribosomal RNA
Source: RNAcentral